This 314-nucleotide ribosomal RNA is filed under the name uncultured bacterium. RNAcentral describes it as "partial 16S ribosomal RNA". It matches the Rfam family "Bacterial small subunit ribosomal RNA", at positions 499 to 807 of the family's 1533-position model. The record is from RNAcentral.
UUAUAAGAGACAGCAGUCGCCGCGGUAAUACGAAGGGUGCAAGCGUUAAUCGGAAUUACUGGGCGUAAAGCGUGCGUAGGCGGUUUGUUAAGUCUGCUGUGAAAUCCCCGGGCUCAACCCGGGAAUGGCAAUGGAUACUGGCGAGCUAGAGUGUGUCAGAGGAUGGUGGAAUUCCCGGUGUAGCGGUGAAAUGCGUAGAGAUCGGGAGGAACAUCAGUGGCGAAGGCGGCCAUCUGGGACAACACUGACGCUGAGGCACGAAAGCGUGGGGAGCAAACAGGAUUAGAUACCCCGGUAGUCCCUGUCUCUUAUAC